CACUGGAUAGAUGAGGUAAGAAGGUUUACACGUCUGCAACCCUGGCAAUCAGGUCUUUAAACUGUCAAUUUCAUAUGCUUAAAUAUCAACAGCAUGUCAUGGGCUUACUGAAACAGAAAAUGAUGUUGAUUUCUGACUGUGUGGAAAAUAGAGUUACAGGAUUUAUUGCAUUCAGCUGAACAAGUUGGAAAGCAUACUUUGCAAUGUGUUUUUGAUUCCUUGGAGUCCUCUUACAGGGCUGCCGUAACUGGAUCUGUGAUCAGGCAUGCUUGGCUCAAGGAGCAAAAUCUGCCUGAUCAUGUUUAAGCAAAAUUGUCGGAU
Molecule: long non-coding RNA, 321 nt
Organism: Protopterus annectens (West African lungfish)
Lineage: Eukaryota; Metazoa; Chordata; Ceratodontiformes; Protopteridae
Exons: 2
Source: RefSeq, a predicted model, not a curated record